GGAGGUGCUUUUGCCAGGCCGCUGGGUGUGCAUUCCAUCUUUGCCACAAAACUGUAAUCCAGUUAUUUAACUUCUCUGUGCUUUGGUUUUGUUUAACCUCGUAAAACAGUGAUGAUGAUAAUGAUACACCAGCUACCUCAUGGAUUCUUUUUGAGAAUUAAAUGGAAUAACGCAAAUAAAAACCAGGGCUAGGGAUAUAGACAGCACUCAGUGAAGCUACUUUAAAGCAUUGUUUUUAUUAUGGAAAAGAUCUGGGCUGGAUUCUGGCUCAGCCACUAACUCACAGUGUCACAGUAUUGGUUCUCUGUGAGUACCCUGUGCUUUCCCAGCCACUGGGUCUCAGCCACGCCUUCCCUCAUCCUUGCUUCCCAUCUUUUAGGACAAUAGCCGGAGGCAGAAGCAGUUGUUAAACCAGAGGUUUGAGAGCCUGUGCGCAGUGCUGGAGGAGCGCAAGGGUGAGCUGCUGCAGGCGCUGGCCCGGGAGCAAGAGGAGAAGCUGCAGCGCGUCCGCGGCCUCAUCCGUCAGUAUGGCGACCACCUGGAGGCCUCCUCUAAGCUGGUGGAGACUGCCAUCCAGUCCAUGGAAGAGCCACAAAUGGCGCUCUACCUCCAGCAGGCCAAGGAGCUGAUCAAUAAGGUCGGGGCCAUGUCGAAGGUGGAGCUGGCAGGGCGGCCGGAGCCAGGC
Molecule: small RNA, 685 nt
Filed under: Pongo abelii (Sumatran orangutan)
Lineage: Eukaryota; Metazoa; Chordata; Mammalia; Primates; Hominidae
Description: retained intron
Source: RNAcentral